This 405-nucleotide ribosomal RNA is filed under the name uncultured bacterium. Its description in RNAcentral is "partial 16S ribosomal RNA". It matches the Rfam family "Bacterial small subunit ribosomal RNA", at positions 28 to 526 of the family's 1533-position model. The record is from RNAcentral.
GAUGAAAGCUGACAGAAUGCUUAACACAUGCAAGUCGACUUGUGGCGGACGGGUGAGUAACGCGUAAAGAACUUGCCUCACAGCUAGGGACAACAGUUGGAAACGAAUGGUAAUAACUAAUACUGUGAGAGAGCUUUGCGUCCCAUUAGCUAGUUGGGGCGGUAACGGCUCACAAAGGCGAUGAUGGUGAGCCGGCCGGGGAGGGGGAUCGGCCACAAGGGGAUUGAGACACGUCCCUGACUCCUACGGGAGGCAGCAGUGGGGAAUAUUCGACAAUGUACCAAAGUCUGAUCCAGCAAUUCUGUGUGCACGAUGAAGUUUUCGGAAUGUACAGUGCUUUCAGUUGGGAAGCGGUACCUACAGAAGAAGCGACGGCUAAAUACGUGCCAGCAGCCGCGGUAAUUC